Molecule: ribosomal RNA, 510 nt
Filed under: uncultured bacterium
Lineage: Bacteria
Description: partial 16S ribosomal RNA
Rfam family: Bacterial small subunit ribosomal RNA
Source: RNAcentral
GACGAACGCUGGCGGCGUGCUUAACACAUGCAAGUCGAACGAAGAGCGAUGGAAGCUUGCUUCUAUCAAUCUUAGUGGCGCACGGGUGAGUAACGCGUAAUCAACCUGCCCUUCAGAGGGGGACAACAGUUGGAAACGACUGCUAAUACCGCAUACGAUCUAAUCUCGGCAUCGAGGAUAGAUGAAAGGUGGCCUCUACAUGUAAGCUAUCACUGAAGGAGGGGAUUGCGUCUGAUUAGCUAGUUGGAGGGGUAACGGCCCACCAAGGCGAUGAUCAGUAGCCGGUCUGAGAGGAUGAACGGCCACAUUGGGACUGAGACACGGCCCAGACUCCUACGGGAGGCAGCAGUGGGGAAUCUUCCGCAAUGGACGAAAGUCUGACGGAGCAACGCCGCGUGAGGGAUGACGGCCUUCGGGUUGGAAAGCUCUGUUAAUCGGGACGAAAGGCCUUCUUGCGAAUAGUGAGAAGGAUUGACGGUACCGGAAUAGAAAGCCACGGCUAACUACGUG